Molecule: ribosomal RNA, 208 nt
Filed under: uncultured Verrucomicrobiota bacterium
Lineage: Bacteria; Pseudomonadati; Verrucomicrobiota
Description: uncultured Verrucomicrobia bacterium partial 16S ribosomal RNA
Rfam family: Bacterial small subunit ribosomal RNA
Source: RNAcentral
UGCGUAGGUGGCGAAGUAAGUCGGAUGUGAAAUCUCCGAUCUCAACUUGGAAACUGCAUUGGAAACUACUUUGCUUGAGGGUUGGAGGGGGGACUGGAAUACUUGGUGUAGCAGUGAAAUGCGUAGAUAUCAAGUGGAACACCAGUGGCGAAGGCGAGUCCCUGGACAACUCCUGACACUGAGGCACGAAAGCUAGGGGAGCAAACAG